This 1372-nucleotide ribosomal RNA is filed under the name uncultured bacterium. RNAcentral's name for it is "bacterial SSU rRNA". It matches the Rfam family "Bacterial small subunit ribosomal RNA", at positions 28 to 1381 of the family's 1533-position model. The record is from RNAcentral.
GAUGAACGCUGGCGGCGUGCCUAAUACAUGCAAGUCGAGCGAACGGACGAGAAGCUUGCUUCUCUGAUGUUAGCGGCGGACGGGUGAGUAACACGUGGGUAACCUACCUAUAAGACUGGGAUAACUUCGGGAAACCGGAGCUAAUACCGGAUAAUAUUUUGAACCGCAUGGUUCAAAAGUGAAAGACGGUCUUGCUGUCACUUAUAGAUGGAUCCGCGCUGCAUUAGCUAGUUGGUAAGGUAACGGCUUACCAAGGCAACGAUGCAUAGCCGACCUGAGAGGGUGAUCGGCCACACUGGAACUGAGACACGGUCCAGACUCCUACGGGAGGCAGCAGUAGGGAAUCUUCCGCAAUGGGCGAAAGCCUGACGGAGCAACGCCGCGUGAGUGAUGAAGGUCUUCGGAUCGUAAAACUCUGUUAUUAGGGAAGAACAUAUGUGUAAGUAACUGUGCACAUCUUGACGGUACCUAAUCAGAAAGCCACGGCUAACUACGUGCCAGCAGCCGCGGUAAUACGUAGGUGGCAAGCGUUAUCCGGAAUUAUUGGGCGUAAAGCGCGCGUAGGCGGUUUUUUAAGUCUGAUGUGAAAGCCCACGGCUCAACCGUGGAGGGUCAUUGGAAACUGGAAAACUUGAGUGCAGAAGAGGAAAGUGGAAUUCCAUGUGUAGCGGUGAAAUGCGCAGAGAUAUGGAGGAACACCAGUGGCGAAGGCGACUUUCUGGUCUGUAACUGACGCUGAUGUGCGAAAGCGUGGGGAUCAAACAGGAUUAGAUACCCUGGUAGUCCACGCCGUAAACGAUGAGUGCUAAGUGUUAGGGGGUUUCCGCCCCUUAGUGCUGCAGCUAACGCAUUAAGCACUCCGCCUGGGGAGUACGACCGCAAGGUUGAAACUCAAAGGAAUUGACGGGGACCCGCACAAGCGGUGGAGCAUGUGGUUUAAUUCGAAGCAACGCGAGGAACCUUACCAAAUCUUGACAUCCUUUGACAACUCUAGAGAUAGAGCCUUCCCCUUCGGGGGACAAAGUGACAGGUGGUGCAUGGUUGUCGUCAGCUCGUGUCGUGAGAUGUUGGGUUAAGUCCCGCAACGAGCGCAACCCUUAAGCUUAGUUGCCAUCAUUAAGUUGGGCACUCUAAGUUGACUGCCGGUGACAAACCGGAGGAAGGUGGGGAUGACGUCAAAUCAUCAUGCCCCUUAUGAUUUGGGCUACACACGUGCUACAAUGGACAAUACAAAGGGCAGCGAAACCGCGAGGUCAAGCAAAUCCCAUAAAGUUGUUCUCAGUUCGGAUUGUAGUCUGCAACUCGACUACAUGAAGCUGGAAUCGCUAGUAAUCGUAGAUCAGCAUGCUACGGUGAAUACGUUCCCGGGUCU